UGACUGGGGCGGUCUCCUCCUAAAGAGUAACGGAGGAGCACGAAGGUUGGCUAAUCCUGGUCGGACAUCAGGAGGUUAGUGCAAUGGCAUAAGCCAGCUUGACUGCGAGCGUGACGGCGCGAGCAGGUGCGAAAGCAGGUCAUAGUGAUCCGGUGGUUCUGAAUGGAAGGGCCAUCGCUCAACGGAUAAAAGGUACUCCGGGGAUAACAGGCUGAUACCGCCCAAGAGUUCAUAUCGACGGCGGUGUUUGGCACCUCGAUGUCGGCUCAUCACAUCCUGGGGCUGAAGUAGGUCCCAAGGGUAUGGCUGUUCGCCAUUUAAAGUGGUACGCGAGCUGGGUUUAGAACGUCGUGAGACAGUUCGGUCCCUAUCUGCCGUGGGCGCUGGAGAACUGAGGGGGGCUGCUCCUAGUACGAGAGGACCGGAGUGGACGCAUCACUGGUGUUCGGGUUGUCAUGCCAAUGGCACUGCCCGGUAGCUAAAUGCGGAAGAGAUAAGUGCUGAAAGCAUCUAAGCACGAAACUUGCCCCGAGAUGAGUUCUCCCUGAGACUUAGAGUCUCCUGAAGGAACGUUGAAGACGACGACGUUGAUAGGCCGGGUGUGUAAGCGCAGCGAUGCGUUGAGCUAACCGGUACUAAUGAACCGUGAGGCUUAACCUUACAACGCCGAAG
Molecule: ribosomal RNA, 672 nt
Filed under: Salmonella enterica subsp. enterica serovar Senftenberg
Lineage: Bacteria; Pseudomonadati; Pseudomonadota; Gammaproteobacteria; Enterobacterales; Enterobacteriaceae
Also listed under: 5 other names
Description: partial 23S ribosomal RNA
Rfam family: Bacterial large subunit ribosomal RNA
Source: RNAcentral